CAAGGUGUAGCGCAGUCCGGUAGCGCAUCUGUUUUGGGUGCAGAGGGCCAUAGGUUCAAAUCCUGUCACCUUGA
Molecule: transfer RNA, 74 nt
Filed under: Chlorokybus atmophyticus
Lineage: Eukaryota; Viridiplantae; Streptophyta; Chlorokybophyceae; Chlorokybales; Chlorokybaceae
Description: tRNA-Pro
Rfam family: tRNA
About the family: Transfer RNA (tRNA) molecules are approximately 80 nucleotides in length. Their secondary structure includes four short double-helical elements and three loops (D, anti-codon, and T loops).
Source: RNAcentral